AGCGAGCAAGGCGUUGAGUGUGCCCAGGAGAAGCAGAGGAGGAAGGUAAGAUUCGGGGGGUGGGUGGAAGACAUUUAUUUUUUUGCGGAGGGGAGGGAGUUCUGCUGGAAGACCCCACGGCCUGCUCUUCCCAACCCGGCCGGAAAAGCAGCGGGCAAGCUUUUGGGUGCAACAGAAUUCCUCGCCAGGCUGGAACGAGAAGGAGAAACCAUGUUCUUAGCUGUGGCGAGAAAGCUUGUGGUUCGCUCCCUGGAAAAUGGGGUGCUUGUUCUGCAGUCAGGAUUGAUUGAUUGAUUGAUUGAUUGAUUGAUUACCCAGCUUUCAUCCAAAGGUCCCAGGACGCAUCAAAACACAAUAUAAUUAAAAACGACUUUAAGUAACUGACCCACCACUGAAAUAAGGUGGGUCCUAAAAAAUAACCCUCGAGGGUCAAAAGAAGUCAAGCCAGAGAAUGAGAGUCUUCGGCAAGGCGCCGCUCCUUAGGCAGGGAGUUCCACAGGUCAGGGUCGCCACAGAGAAGUCUUUCAGGUGUUGGGGGGUCUUGAAUACUUCAGGGCUUGAAACCUCAGCGUGAGCACCUUGAACUGGGCCCGGAAAUGAAACGGGCAACCUGCGCAGCUGUUUUGAAACAGAGGUGAUGGUAGAAUUGCAGCACUGGAAAGGCACCCGAGGGUCAUCUAGUCCAACCCGCUGAGAUGCAGGAACUUGAACUAAAGCAUCCCUGACAGAUGGGCCCCCAAUGGUCAGGGAUGAUGGGAGUUGUAGUCUAGCAAGAGCGGGAGGAGGGGCACAAUUUCCCCACCCCUCCUGGGGCAGAAGAGAUUCGUUAAAUCCAGCUUUGUCUCUCCUCGCCAGAAGAGGCGGAUCGCUUCCCCCUUAGUCCCAGUGCAGGGAUUCCCCUUAUUCCGGCUGUUGGGUGUCAAACUUCCUGGGGCUUCCCACUGGAAUUAAGAGGUAAGCCCAGGAGCCUGAAGACCCCCCCCCCGCCUCCCCAGGAGGCCAGCCUGUUUCUGGGUCGCCCCCAGAGGCACCUCAAAGCCAUUUCCCUCGGGGUUUCUGCUUGGAAGGUCACAAUCCAGCCGAGCUGUCAUUUGGGGCACAUCUGGACAUUUGAGGUUCCAUCCAGUUUGGCGAACAGCAUCAGCCCAAAGGAAAGUGUUUGUGUGCGUGAGAGAGAGAGAGAUCGACAAGCAGACCACCCUAACUCGGAAUCGCUUGCAAACUGGUAUUCGACAUCCUCCUUCAUUUGAAAAUAAAAAUAGAUUAUCUCAUGUGAGUGGAUGGAAUGAACUGCAGUUGCAGCAUUUGAAAGAUGAUUGUAGCAAGGGGCAACCCCUGACAGGAGCAGAGGUGUUUAGAAAAUAAUCACAUGUCACACACCAAUUAAAUAUGAAGCUGCAAGGAAACUAACAGAAUAUGAAAAGAUGGCAAUAAGAGAUAGCAUGACGACGAAAGGGAUCAAUUCCCCUUUUAUACAAAUGUCCAGAACAAUUGUGUAAGGAAGUUUGUCAAAGAGGUGUCUCCAAAUAACCCCAGCUUAAGCCUUACUUAAUUGAUAUCCUUCAGAACUGUUCUGUUUGCGGACAUUCCCACCACAUAUGUUCGUAUGUACCUAUAAACUGACAUCCUCUCCCAACGUAACAGGACAUCAUCGGGCUUCAUAUCUGGUAGGCGCCUCAGUGUUAAAACAUCCACACGGACUACUCCCAAGGAGAAAAGAUUAGUCUCUGUGGAUGUUGAGUUGGCCGGUGUGAUGGCCUGGGAUUUGGACUCAGAGGCUGAACCUGAGGGAUCUCAGCCUGCACAGGAGUCCCCACCUCCAGAACCAGCUGAGCCGGGGCUGGGGCUUGAGCCUGAAGGGUCCUCACCUGUGCUGGAUCCUCAGGUGCAGGCAUCAGCUGAAUCCGCUCUGGCUCCUGAGGUGAUGGAGGACCAAUUGCCUGCAGGUGCUUCAUCCUCAGCCCCAUCAGGGGAAGCUGAGGUUGCCUCUGGGUCUGGUAACCCUCCAGCCUCUCCUGAGCUGCAGAGGCUCAGGGCAGAGAGGUGGAGGGAACUAAGUUCCCGCAGGAGGAGUGCUCGCCUCCAGGCCAGGAGAGGCGAGUCACCUGUGGACCGGGACCGCCUUAUGCCUCGGGGCAGAUAAAGCCGGCCAGCCCCAGCCCCAAGUUGCAGGAGCAACAUUGUUGGUUGCUAGUUCCUGCCUGAACCCUGUCCUGCCUUUCUGCCAGAGCUCCUGACCCCACCCGACUCCCCGCCUUGGACCCAGCUACAGCUUUGACGGACAGCCUCCAUACCGCACCAUCGACCUCGGACUGGACUCAGACCUCGCCUCUCAGUUAGCCCCCGGGACCAGCACAGCCUGUAGGAAACUGGGAGGUGGCAAUGCGAAGAACCCUGAGCGCCUCCCUCAGGCUCACGAUGGCCGCAACCAGCCCAGGCCCAGCCACUGGGAUGGCCGUGUACAUUGCAAUGCUUUUUAGGAUGUGUUAUGUAGACCGAGGCCAAAACUGUCUCUCCCAACCUGGCUCCUGCCCCUCUCCUCAUAGAAAUGGGUCCCCAUGAGUCAUCUAGAUCAACCCCCUGCAAGGCAGGAAUCUCCUUGUUCGGUCUGUUCCUUGUGACCGGUCCCAAUCCUCUUUUGUUCACACUGAACACCGGCUGGAGGCUCCUCCCUUCAGACGACGCUCUGGUCUCCGGCUCCUCUUAGAACUGCGGAGUCAGACGGGACCCCCAAAUCUAGCCCAACCCUCUGCGAUGCAACCAUCACAGCUCAAAAAAUAAACCCCCUGACUCACACAGCCAUCCCACCCGCAGGGAAGGUUUUACUGCAACACCCAUUUGGCGUCUUCCUUCAGGCUCCUGGGAGGCUUCCCACCCCAGCCUUCAGCGCUGCCUCUGAGCUCCUUCCCUCCCCUUUGGCCUUGCAGAGGGGGCGAAGGUGGGAGGCCUUGAGCAAAUGAUUGAGCAAAGAGGAUCCUGCGGACUUGACACAAUGGCUUCCUGGCCUCCUGGGCCAGAGAGCCUUUCGUAACGCACAAAGCUGGAGAAAAGCAACGCUGCCUUCCAUCGCAUAAUAGUCACAGCCCCCUCUUUUUUUUGGUCCUUAAAACUGGUCCCAAAGCAUUCGCUGUGUAAGAGUUGCAGGAUUUUCUCAGCACGCCUCCUCAGUGCCAGUCGAAUGUACAAGGGGAGCAGGCGGGCAAGCGACGUAAACACGUUUGUUACUAAAAAACUCUUUCCUUGCAUAAUAAGUUGCGCGCCCCUUUUUGGGAAAGAAAAAUCAGCAUGAAAUAUGUGAGCGUUAUGCGUUUAAAUAGGG
Non-coding RNA from Podarcis lilfordi (Lilford's wall lizard), 3319 nucleotides. NCBI's taxonomy places the organism in Eukaryota, Metazoa, Chordata, Lepidosauria, Squamata, Lacertidae. The record is from the annotation of a GenBank genome assembly.